Molecule: long non-coding RNA, 435 nt
Organism: Dromiciops gliroides (monito del monte)
Lineage: Eukaryota; Metazoa; Chordata; Mammalia; Microbiotheria; Microbiotheriidae
Exons: 3
Source: RefSeq, a predicted model, not a curated record
GAUUAAAGAAGCAGUGGGUACCAAGGAAAGAGAAACUCAUUGGAUUGAGAGAACUAGGAGCAAAGUGUGGAAGGCUCAAAGAGGCAGAAUUCGGCUCUGGAUAAGGAAGAGGCUUCUGAACGUUUAGAGCUCUUCCAAGGCAAAACGAGUGGAAACUUUCCUUUGUCAGAAUAAUUUUAAAAUGAAGAAUAUUUCAGCAAAACCAAGUGAUUCAUCAACCUUGCCUGACAAAGUAUGCAGCAUUCCUCAAUCCCAGCUUUCCACAUGCCUGGUGAAAUGGGAGCUGCCUUGUUAUAUCAUGGAUUCUUCAUUCAACAAUUCAUUCUUAUGGAAAGUCCUUACAUGGAAGAUAGAAUGAGGGGACACAGACAUUUUCUUCAUAGCUGGCAAACUCUUUGAGUGGGAUGUGGACAGAGAGAAAUAAAAUGAACAGAG